This 497-nucleotide ribosomal RNA is filed under the name uncultured bacterium. Its description in RNAcentral is "partial 16S ribosomal RNA". It matches the Rfam family "Bacterial small subunit ribosomal RNA", at positions 28 to 507 of the family's 1533-position model. The record is from RNAcentral.
GAUGAACGCUGGCGGCGUGCCUAAUACAUGCAAGUCGAGCGAACAGACGAGGAGCUUGCUCCUCUGACGUUAGCGGCGGACGGGUGAGUAACACGUGGAUAACCUACCUAUAAGACUGGGAUAACUUCGGGAAACCGGAGCUAAUACCGGAUAAUAUAUUGCACCGCAUGGUUCAAUAGUGAAAGACGGUUUUGCUGUCACUUAUAGAUGGAUCCGCGCCGCAUUAGCUAGUUGGUAAGGUAACGGCUUACCAAGGCAACGAUGCGUAGCCGACCUGAGAGGGUGAUCGGCCACACUGGAACUGAGACACGGUCCAGACUCCUACGGGAGGCAGCAGUAGGGAAUCUUCCGCAAUGGGCGAAAGCCUGACGGAGCAACGCCGCGUGAGUGAUGAAGGUCUUCGGAUCGUAAAACUCUGUUAUUAGGGAAGAACAAAUGUGUAAGUAACUAUGCACGUCUUGACGGUACCUAAUCAGAAAGCCACGGCUAGCUACGUG